This 500-nucleotide ribosomal RNA is filed under the name uncultured Glomeromycotina. RNAcentral's name for it is "partial small subunit ribosomal RNA". It matches the Rfam family "Eukaryotic small subunit ribosomal RNA", at positions 591 to 1092 of the family's 1831-position model. Lineage: Eukaryota; Fungi; Glomeromycota. The record is from RNAcentral.
CCAAUAGCGUAUAUUAAAGUUGUUGCAGUUAAAAAGCUCGUAGUUGAAUUUCGGGGUCAGUAGGUCGGUCGUGCCACAGGUAUGUACUGGUCUCACUGAUUCCUCCUUCCUGAUGAACCGUAAUGCCAUUAAUCUGGUGUUGCGGGGAGACUGGACUGUUACUUUGAAAAAAUUAGAGUGUUUAAAUCAGGCUAACGCUUGAAUAAUUUAGCAUGGAAUAAGGGAAUAGGACGUUCGAUCUUAUUUUGUUGGUUUCUAAGAUUGACGUAAUGAUUAAUAGGGAUAGUUGGGGGCAUUAGUAUUCAAUUGUCAGAGGUGAAAUUCUUGGAUUUAUUGAAGACUAACUACUGCGAAAGCAUUUGCCAAGGAUGUUUUCAUUAAUCAAGAACGAAAGUUAGGGGAUCGAAGACGAUCAGAUACCGUCGUAGUCUUAACCAUAAACUAUGCCGACUAGGGAUCGGAUGAUGUUAAUUUUUUAAUGACUCAUUCGGCGCCUUACG